RNAcentral lists this ribosomal RNA (1563 nucleotides) under Triticum aestivum (bread wheat). RNAcentral describes it as "partial small subunit ribosomal RNA". The record is from RNAcentral. Lineage: Eukaryota; Viridiplantae; Streptophyta; Magnoliopsida; Poales; Poaceae.
AUGACAUUAGGAGUAGAGAUUAGCAUUGUGGAGAUCUUUCCGUGCCGUGGAUGGUCAAAACAUGCAGAGACGUACGUGGUGUGGAGGUUGGACGUCUACUUCUCCCGCGUGAUUCAAUUCCACGAUCGGUGGGAGGAGAAUGCGGUUAUGGCCUAUUCAUCGGUAGCUGUACGACUGCGCAAUCUUUUGGCAUACUCCUGUAGCCUUUUGGCAUCCUCAUGGCAACGCCUCCCACCUCCGUCGCCGGAGCUGCCCAUCAUCGGGCACCUGCACCUCGUCGGUGCCCUCCCACACGUCUCCCUCCGUGACCUCGCCAGGAAGCACGGUCUGGAUGUGUUGCUCCUCCGGCUGGGCGCACUAUCGACCCUCGUAGUGUCGUCACCGCGCGCCGCCGAGGACGUGCUGUGCACGAAGGACCACAUCCUGGCAUCGCGGCCCCCUUCCGUCGUCCCCGACAUCAUCAUGUAUGGCUCAUCUGACAUCGCCUUCGCGCCGUACGGCGAGUACUGGCGGCAGGCGAGGAAGCUCGUCACCACAGACAUGCUCAACGUUAAGAAGGUGCAGUCUUUCCGCAGCGCCGCCAUAGAGGAGGUCAACAUGGCAAUGGCCAAGAUCAACGAGGCAGCCACAGCUGGUAGUACAGUCGACAUUAGCGAGCUGCUCAACUCAUACUCGAAUGACAUGGCGUGCCGUAUCGUGUCGGGCAAGUUCAGUUUUAACAUGGUCCCUCUUAUCCUCUCUUUUCACAUGAGAGAUGGGCGGAGCAAGUUGUUCCGGGAACUCAUCAAGGACUCCUCACGGCUUGUAGGUGGGUUCAACUUGGAGGAGUACUUCCCAGCAUUGGGUAGGGUUGUAGUGCUUAAGAGGGCGGUUUGUGCCAAGGCGGAAAGAGUGAGGAACAGAUGGGCCAAUCUGCUGGACAAAGUGAUCGAUGAUCGUGUGAGCACGCGCAAAUCAGUGUCUGAUCACAAGAAUGGUGAUUUCGUAGAUAUUCUGUUGUCUAUUCAGCAGGAGUAUAAUCUCACAAGAGAGCACAUGAAAGCUCUCCUCACACCAUCGUCCGCACUCACGGCCAACAGCGCGCCGACCUGCUCCUCCUACUUCCUCCUCUCCAUCGAGCUCGGCCCGCCCGUCAGCCGGCUGCUACGACCACAGGCGCUCGGCCAGCGCGAGGGCCCACGCCGCCCGCUUCAUCUUCUGCGUCGACCUCAGCUCGCCCGUCAACCGGCUGCAGCGACCGCAGACGCUCGGCAGUCUCUCUGGCGGCGCGGGUGCUCAGCUGUGAUCGAGCGGCGUCCCCAGCGGCGGCGGCAACCCCAGCGGUCGACUCACGGACCUGACACGGCACCAACGCCGGGGCUGUCCACGUCAACAAGACGGGAGCCGCCGGGUCGACUCGGCAGUCGGCACCACCUCGAGCUCCGCCCGCCCACAGACUCUCAGGAGAAUGCCGUCCCGCACUGGGACCUGUCACGGGCCGCCUCACCUUGCGCUGGGUCCGAGUCAAAGCCGCUGCCGCCGGCGUUGCCAACCAGGGAGCUCUGCGCCCCUCCACUCUCCUAA